GCGCAGGCGGCUUGGUCAGUCUGAAGUGAAAGCCCGGGGCUCAACCCCGGAAUAGCUUUGGAUACUGCCAAACUUGAGUGCGUGAGAGGAGAGUGGAAUUCCUGGUGUAGCGGUGGAAUGCGUAGAUAUCAGGAGGAACACCAAUGGCGAAAGCAGCUCUCUGGCACGUUACUGACGCUGAGGCCCGAAAGCGUGGGGAGCGAACA
RNAcentral lists this ribosomal RNA (206 nucleotides) under uncultured bacterium. RNAcentral describes it as "partial 16S ribosomal RNA". It matches the Rfam family "Bacterial small subunit ribosomal RNA", at positions 569 to 774 of the family's 1533-position model. The record is from RNAcentral.